This 1537-nucleotide long non-coding RNA is filed under the name Marmota monax (woodchuck). Lineage: Eukaryota; Metazoa; Chordata; Mammalia; Rodentia; Sciuridae. The record is from RNAcentral.
CCUAAAUGUCUGUUAAUGAGUAAAUGGCUAAAAUGUGGCUUGUCCAUGCAUUGGAGCACUAUUCAGCCACAAAAAUGAAUAAGUCCAGAUCCAUGCCACACCAUGAAUGGGCCUGAAAACAUGCUGAAAGAAGCCAGAUAAAAGAUCACACGAUGUAAGAUUCUAUUCAUAGGAAAUAUCCAGGACAGGCCAAUCUAUAGAAACUGAAAGUAGAUUAUUGGUGCCAGAGGCCAGGAGAAAGGAAGGAUGGGAGAUGACUGCUAAUGAGUGGGAGGUUUCCUUUUGGAGUGAUGAAAAAUGUUCUGGAAAUGAAACAGCAGUGAUAGUUGCUGAACUGUGAAAAGACUAAAAGUCCCUGAGCUGUACAUCUUAAAAGAGCAAAUGUUUUAGCAUGUGAUUGACACCUCCCUAGUAACAGUAAACAGGGAGAAGAAAGUUGGUAAUAAAACUUUGGUAACAAAACAAUGAACAUUAUUCCUCCUGGCCAUAGCUGAUUAGACCAGGUGGCAACCAGUCUGUGGUUUAAACCCAGCCAGUCUGAUUCUCUCUGGCUGUGGCAUUGUGAUUAAAGCAGCUCUUUGUUCUCUGCAGGUGACUGGAACAGUAACCAUCCUGCUCAUGAGGAAGCCAGAAGAGUCUACAGAAGAGAAAAUGGAAGAGAUGGACAAAGAGCUACAGAGGUGAGUGAGGUUAAGAAAAGAGCCUCUGGGGAUUCUGCCGAGUUUUACAGUUCCUGUUUGCACUCCUGGCUCACCUUUGCCCUGGAGAUAACUCCUUAAUAAUAACAUAGACUUACUUAUUAUUUACUUACACUGGUACCUUUUGAAACUUGGAAUUAAAAAGACCACAUCUGUGGUGCUCGGAUCUAACAGAUGAAAAAUGUCACCAGAAGGUUUUAUAUAAUUAUAAUGCACCAAUAAAAAAUAUGGGAAAAAAAUGUCACCAGUAGUGUAGUCAUUAAAACAAAUGUUUAUAUGAAUGCAGGAAGUCAGAAUGAAAUGAGAGGCAUUUCCAGAGGCCACUAAGAGCAGCAAUAAAUAAACAAAUGGCCCAUAAAAAGAAUGAAGUCCCUAUAAAAAGCAGAGCAGAGAACUGUAAAAAGCUUAUCAGUCUAGGACCAUUUAGACCAUGAGAGGCCAGCAGAGACAGACCCAAGUGUUCAUAAGGCUUCAUUAGGUUGUAGAGCUUGGUAAGACUGAUGUGUGUUACAAUGGCUUUUAGCCAUAAAAGCCCAGUGAGAUCAUGUUCUUUGUUCCUGAAUGUCUUCACCAAAAAUUGUUUACAUGUUUAGGCAUUUAAAAAGGUAAGAUUCAUUUAUAUGGCAUACAGAUAUUGUGAAAUUUAUCAGUUUAUAACAUAAUGACAGAUGCAUGUGCAAAUAUAUGUGUACUUGUACAUCCAGAAAUAGAACAUCUCAAUAAAGAAUAAGGAGAUAGUAAAAGUGAGAAAUAUUUAAAAAUUUUAAUGUAUAUAUGAAUUCAAAUGCACUAAUUAAAAUGAUAAUAAUAGAAGGUAGAUUAGUAGAGAAGAAUAGGGA